This 439-nucleotide ribosomal RNA is filed under the name uncultured bacterium. RNAcentral describes it as "partial 16S ribosomal RNA". It matches the Rfam family "Bacterial small subunit ribosomal RNA", at positions 338 to 795 of the family's 1533-position model. The record is from RNAcentral.
CCUACGGGUGGCAGCAGUGGGGGAUAUUGCACAAUGGAGGAAACUCUGAUGCAGCGACGCCGCGUGAGGGAUGACGGUCUUCGGAUUGUAAACCUCUGUCUGUCGGGAAGAAAAUGACGGUACCCAAACAGGAAUCUCCGGCUAACUCCGUGCAAGCAACCGCGGUCAUACGUAGGGCGCGCGCGUGCUCCGGAAUUAUUGGGGCAAAAGGGAGCGUAGGCGGGCGAGAAAGUUGAAGGUAAAAUCUACCGGCUAAACUGGGAGCUGCGUUCAACACUUCUUGUCUUGAGUGAAGUAGAGGCAGGCGGAAUUCCGGGUGUAGCGGUGAAAUGCGUAGAUAUCAGGAGGAACACCGGCGGCGAAGGCGGCCUGCUGGCGCGUAACUGACGUUGAGGCUCGAAAGCGUGGGUAGCAAACAGGAUUAGAUACCCCAGUAGUC